UACGUAAGGUGCAAGCGUUGCUCGGAAUCAUUGGGCGGAAAGCGCGUGUAGGCGGCCUACUAAGGCUGAUGUGAAAGCCCGGGGCUCAACCCCGGAAGUGCAUUGGAUACUGGUUGGCUAGAGGGCGAGAGAGGGAAGUGGAAUUCCUGGUGUAGGGGUGGAAUCCGUAGAUAUCAGGAGGAACAUCGGUGGCGAAGGCGGCUUCCUGGCUCGUUUCUGACGCUCAGACGCGAAAGCGUGGGUAGCAAACAGG
This 253-nucleotide ribosomal RNA is filed under the name uncultured bacterium. Its description in RNAcentral is "partial 16S ribosomal RNA". It matches the Rfam family "Bacterial small subunit ribosomal RNA", at positions 524 to 776 of the family's 1533-position model. The record is from RNAcentral.